This 518-nucleotide ribosomal RNA is filed under the name uncultured Bacillota bacterium. Its description in RNAcentral is "bacterial SSU rRNA". It matches the Rfam family "Bacterial small subunit ribosomal RNA", at positions 387 to 896 of the family's 1533-position model. Lineage: Bacteria; Bacillati; Bacillota. The record is from RNAcentral.
CGGAGCAACGCCGCGUGAGUGAUGAAGGCUUUCGGGUCGUAAAACUCUGUUGUUAGGGAAGAACAAGUACGAGAGUAACUGCUCGUACCUUGACGGUACCUAACCAGAAAGCCACGGCUAACUACGUGCCAGCAGCCGCGGUAAUACGUAGGUGGCAAGCGUUAUCCGGAAUUAUUGGGCGUAAAGCGCGCGCAGGCGGUUUCUUAAGUCUGAUGUGAAAGCCCACGGCUCAACCGUGGAGGGUCAUUGGAAACUGGGGAACUUGAGUGCAGAAGAGAAAAGCGGAAUUCCACGUGUAGCGGUGAAAUGCGUAGAGAUGUGGAGGAACACCAGUGGCGAAGGCGGCUUUUUGGUCUGUAACUGACGCUGAGGCGCGAAAGCGUGGGGAGCAAACAGGAUUAGAUACCCUGGUAGUCCACGCCGUAAACGAUGAGUGCUAAGUGUUAGAGGGUUUCCGCCCUUUAGUGCUGCAGCUAACGCAUUAAGCACUCCGCCUGGGGAGUACGGUCGCAAGACUG